AGUUUCCCUCAGGAUAGCUGGGACAGAGAAUUACACCCGGUAAAGCCAAUGAGUAGAGGUCAGGGAGACACGCGUCUUCUUCCUAUUAUCAAACUUUAAAUGGGUGUGUCGCCACUUGCUUGUUUGAAGUGGCGAACUCAAUCGAGUCCUUAGUGGGCCAGUUCGGGUAAGCUGAAUUGGCGAUGAGGGUUCAACCUGAAGCGGGGUUAAGGCGACAAAGGACGUCUGUUAGUAAAGGCGUUAGUUCAUUUAGACAGUAGGACGGUGGCCAUGGAAGUUGG
This 281-nucleotide ribosomal RNA is filed under the name uncultured Symbiodinium. Its description in RNAcentral is "partial Eukaryotic large subunit ribosomal RNA". It matches the Rfam family "Eukaryotic large subunit ribosomal RNA", at positions 965 to 1264 of the family's 3401-position model. Lineage: Eukaryota; Dinophyceae; Suessiales; Symbiodiniaceae. The record is from RNAcentral.